GGAAACCCAGCCAGAUGCGCAGGGUACAAAUAUAUUAUUAUUAUAAAUGACAGGCAGAGCCAACUGUAAUUCUAGUUUUGUCCCCAUUUUCCAGAGUUCUACAGCACAUCACUGAGCCCGAGAAGGAGGAAGCUGAUUGGCAGGGCAGGGCACCAAUUGCCCUAAUGGACCAGCCUCCGCUGGUAGAAAGAGGUGGAUCAAUGGCAGCCUGGAGGCAACUAGAAGCUGCUGUCUGCAAGCAAGGAACAAAAGCACUGCUAAGGCUACAAUUGGAUGUGGAAGGAAGGGCCUUUAUUUAAAGCACUUGCUGUAGAAAGAGAAAGAUGAAAGCCUGCUUGCCAGGAUAAUCUUCCCUGCAUCUACGUUCUGGCUAACUGGUUUGAAAUGACUCACACUAUUUUAAUGGAUCUUGGGAGAAAAGCAAUGACAAGCCUAGACAGCAUCUUAAAAAGCAGAGACAUCACCUUG
Non-coding RNA from Podarcis muralis (Common wall lizard), 468 nucleotides. The record is from RefSeq and is a predicted model, not a curated record. NCBI's taxonomy places the organism in Eukaryota, Metazoa, Chordata, Lepidosauria, Squamata, Lacertidae.